Molecule: ribosomal RNA, 199 nt
Filed under: uncultured bacterium
Lineage: Bacteria
Description: partial 16S ribosomal RNA
Rfam family: Bacterial small subunit ribosomal RNA
Source: RNAcentral
UAGUCUGCAACUCGACUACAUGAAGCUGGAAUCGCUAGUAAUCGCAGAUCAGAAUGCUGCGGUGAAUACGUUCCCGGGUCUUGUACACACCGCCCGUCACACCAUGGGAGUCGGAAAUGCCCGAAGCCGGUGACCCAACCAAAAGGAGGGAGCCGUCGAAGGCAGGUCUGAUAACUGGGUGAAGUCGUAACAAGGUAAC